RNAcentral lists this ribosomal RNA (253 nucleotides) under uncultured bacterium. RNAcentral describes it as "partial 16S ribosomal RNA". It matches the Rfam family "Bacterial small subunit ribosomal RNA", at positions 524 to 776 of the family's 1533-position model. The record is from RNAcentral.
UACGUAGGGGGCAAGCGUUGUCCGGAUUUAUUGGGCGUAAAGAGCGUGUAGGCGGCUUUACAGGUCCGUUGUGAAAACUCGAGGCUCAACCUCGAGACGCCGGUGGAAACCGUAAAGCUAGAGUCCGGAAGAGGAGAGUGGAAUUCCCGGUGUAGCGGUGAAAUGCGCAGAUAUCAGGAGGAACACCCGUGGCGAAAGCGGCUCUCUGGGACGGUACUGACGCUGAGACGCGAAAGCGUGGGGAGCAAACAGG